UCCGUGUUAACCACGGCAGUCCCUCUAGAGUGCCCAACUGAAUGCUGGCAACUAAAGGCAGGGGUUGCGCUCGUUGCGAGACUUAACCCAACAUGUCACCACACGAGCUGACGACAGCCAUGCAGCACCUGUCUCUCUGUCGUAUUGCUACGAAAGCCGUAUCUCUACGGUUGUCAGAGGAUGUCAAACCCAGGUAAGGUUCUUCGCGUUGCUUCGAAUUAAACCACAUGAUCCACCGCUUGUGCGGGCCCCCGUCAAUUCCUUUGAGUUUUAGUCUUGCGACCGUACUCCCCAGGCGGGAUACUUAAUGCGUUAGCUGCGACUCAGCAGGGGUCAAAUCCCGCCAAAUCUAGUAUCCAUCGUUUACGGCGUGGACUAC
This 379-nucleotide unclassified non-coding RNA is filed under the name uncultured Oligoflexales bacterium. Its description in RNAcentral is "contains 16S-23S intergenic spacer region". Lineage: Bacteria; Pseudomonadati; Bdellovibrionota; Oligoflexia; Oligoflexales. The record is from RNAcentral.